CCGAGUGCGGGACUGGGGCUCCUGGCUGUGGGUGUGGUACUGAGGCUUCAGCGGGUGCCGCCCGCCUAGAGGGAGUGGAGCGGUGAGCACGUCAGGGGUGGGGGGCGCAGGUCAAGCUUUCACCAGUUUUUAAUUCUUUGAUGGGGUAAAUUUGAGCAAUUUUCUCGACUUGUCGACAUUCGUUAUUAACUGAGCAGGAAUCAGGAGAGGAACCCGGUCCUCUCCACACAGCCCAGCAGAGAGCCUACGACUAGAUUUGCAUCUUUACGUCCUGCGCGGAGGCUGCUACACACAUGCAGAAGUCAUGCUGGUGGCCUGGACAGUGAAGGGAGAGAAGUGGAUUUGGGAGACAUUUAGGAGGUAAGAUUGCUAGGACCUUGGUGAUAGCUUGGACAUGGAGGGUGGAGGAGGAGGGGUGUCUAGCAGAUAAUGCUCUUAGGUUACCACCUGGGAUAUUAGGGAGAGUGAGCAGGCUGUUUUUUGUUUGUUAGGCAGAACUUGGUUUUGCGGUGCAGUAGGGUGCCUGGAGCCGAAAGCCUGACUUCCUCAUACAGGCCAGACCCCACAUGUGACUGCCAGGCCACUCUGAGGCUGAGAGAGAUGCUUUUGUCUGGCCUCUGUCCUGCACGUGUUUACGGAUGACCUCUGUGUUGGCAGAUUUGGGGGUCCGCCAGAUAGGAUCCUGUGAAGAGACCUCAAAGGUCUUUAGUCCAAUCUAUAAAACAUUUUUAUGUUGAUUAUAUCAUUUCCACAAUCAAAGAUGAAUAAAAGAUACAGAGGUGUAUUUAGUGAAUCAGGUUGAUGGUGCACCUGCGCUAGGCAGUGUUUUAGUUCGUUGAGACACCAAGGAGUUGAGACAAUCCUUUACCUCAGAGUUUUGUGUCUGUAAGUCCUGCUGUUGAGAGCUGUGUGUGUUAAAAUGUCUGAUUUGGGCAGGUGAGAUCUGGGCCCUCUGUAAGGUUAGGUAACAGGAGGUUGGUGUCCAGCAAAUAUUCAGUGCGCCAUCAACAUCCCAGUUCUUGUCCACCAAUCUUCCAAUUCUAGGACUGAUGCGGAG
Molecule: long non-coding RNA, 1057 nt
Filed under: Pan troglodytes (chimpanzee)
Lineage: Eukaryota; Metazoa; Chordata; Mammalia; Primates; Hominidae
Description: long non-coding RNA NONPTRT009688
Source: RNAcentral